This is a non-coding RNA of Agelaius phoeniceus (red-winged blackbird), 767 nucleotides long. The record is from RefSeq and is a predicted model, not a curated record. NCBI's taxonomy places the organism in Eukaryota, Metazoa, Chordata, Aves, Passeriformes, Icteridae.
UUUAGUUUAAUUUUCUCUCUGGUUGAAGAGUACAGCGCACAUUUUCCCCUUUUAGCCAUGGUUAUGUGAGUACACAACUGGAUUCCAUUGACUUGAGGAACUUGCAAAAUAUUUACCUUGCUCCUGUAAGUCUGGCUUUUUGUCAUUGAAAUAAGCCAUUCUCUUAGUAUUUUUGUUUUGUACAGUAAAAAUUUGAAUACAGUAAUUACAAACAUUAGUAGUGCUGCUAUGUAUCUCUAAAAUGAAUCUCAUCUAUUUCCAAUCUGCUGACAAAUUAACUAAACACUGAUGUGUUCAGUGAUAUGGCACUGUAAAGUUUAUCUUGGACUCAUAUUGUCCUGAUUAUAUGGGAAGUACAGUUUACAUCCACAGAUAAACAUGUGGCUCCUCAGAAUGAAGAACCACAUGAACAGACAAUAUACCUCUUUUUAAUUCUGUGGACUUGGUCCCAAAACCCGGAAUUAGAUUAAAUACCUAUUGAUAAAAAUUGUUCCCUUUGUGGUGUUUCUGCCAUGGAAGAUGCAACUACUUUUGCUGCAAUUUUGCAAGCUUAUAUUUACAGUAUUUUUAAAUUUUGCAGAAAACUUCCUACCAUGUCAAACAUAAAUGAUUUUUUUUUUCCUGGCUGGACACAAGAUUACUAUUUGUAUAUCAUGACAUGGUUCUGGGUGAUCUUCCAAAAAUGUCCAGACUGGGAUAAGAUAAAAGGUUGAAAUAAUAAUUGUGUAGUUCAAUAUUUAAUGUAAUAAAAUAUUUUUUUCUCAUGA